Molecule: long non-coding RNA, 435 nt
Filed under: Callithrix jacchus (white-tufted-ear marmoset)
Lineage: Eukaryota; Metazoa; Chordata; Mammalia; Primates; Cebidae
Description: lncRNA (ENSCJAG00000063042.2)
Source: RNAcentral
UUGUAAAUCAUUUAGUCUCAGGGGGUUGUCCUGAACUGCAGUGGGGCUUACUGCAUUGGACCAGAGAACACAGAGGCCGGAUUCUGGAUCCAAGUGCUACUGUAUGAGUGCAUGCUGGGAAAUCCUUGAAAGGAGAUGCAAUCCGGUCUCUGGCUCUCCCCUUUCUCUCCACAUGGGUCUGCAAAGACCCUCCAAACUGAGGUGCAGAAAGGAGCGCAGGAAAAUAAGAGAGAGAGAGAGAACCAAGAAGUAAAACAACAGAAACUCCCUCUAAGUAAGUACUGUAGAAACAAACUGAAAAUAGGGCUAGAAAAACAACAGAGGAGGUUCAAGACCAGCCUGAGCAACAUGGCGGAACCCAGAACCCCAUUGCUACUACACAGACACAGACACACACACACACACACACACACACACACACACACACACACAUAA